This 451-nucleotide ribosomal RNA is filed under the name uncultured bacterium. RNAcentral's name for it is "bacterial SSU rRNA". It matches the Rfam family "Bacterial small subunit ribosomal RNA", at positions 29 to 465 of the family's 1533-position model. The record is from RNAcentral.
ACGAACGCUGGCGGCGUGCCUAACACAUGCAAGUCGUACGUGAAAGCCCGCAAGGGUCAGUAAAGUGGCGCACGGGUGAGUAACACGUGGGUAACCUGCCCUCGAGUGGGGGAAUAACCCAGGGAAACUUGGGCUAAGACCGCAUGACCUCCCUGGCUCUGCGGAGCCGGGGAGCAAAGGUGGCCUCUGCUUGCAAGCUACCGCUCGAGGAGGGGCCCGCGGCCCAUUAGCUAGUUGGUAGGGUAACGGCCUACCAAGGCGACGAUGGGUAGCCGGCCUGAGAGGGUGUCCGGCCACACUGGAACUGAGACACGGUCCAGACUCCUACGGGAGGCAGCAGUGAGGAAUCUUGCGCAAUGGGGGAAACCCUGACGCAGCAACGCCGCGUGGAUGAUGAAGGCCUUCGGGUCGUAAAAUCCUGUCGAGUGGGACGAAUCACUGGUCGGUAAAC